RNAcentral lists this long non-coding RNA (461 nucleotides) under Numida meleagris (helmeted guineafowl). RNAcentral's name for it is "lncRNA (ENSNMEG00000020447.1)". Lineage: Eukaryota; Metazoa; Chordata; Aves; Galliformes; Numididae. The record is from RNAcentral.
UUCAUUAAUAUUUUUGCUUUAAAAUAUUUACUUUUUUUUUUUUCCCAUUUAACAGCUAGUACAGGUGAUUAUCAUUCAGUCAAGACUAUGGAGAAGCAGGAGCUGAUUGGACAGUAGGAACUAAUCUACAACUAAAUGCCUGAGGAGAAUCAACAAGAUACCUCCAAGUGACUGCUUUCUCUGUGUCAGGUUGUAACGCUGUUACUGAUUCAGAAGGAAGAAGCUCUGAGAAAUACAGCUGAGUUUUAUCUCUGUAUACUCUUCAGCCUUGCUCAUGUUGAAGGAAAAGCCACUGAUGCAAACCAUUAAUUUAACAGACAGGAAUUCCCCUUGGAAAGAUUCAAUUUUCAUGGAUAACCAGGGAUUUUAUUCUGAACAGGUAAGCAUGCAUAUGAAUAAAUCCUUCAUUUAUUCCUGCCCAGCAUUCUACAGUCAAUUCUGUUUUCUUACAUAUAUAAAAC